CUGUCCUACGGGGGGCAGCAGUAGGGAAUCUUCCACAAUGGGCGAAAGCCUGAUGGAGCAACGCCGCGUGAGGGAAGACGGUCAUCGGAUUGUAAACCUCUGUCUUUGGGGACGAAAAAGGACGGUACCCAAGGAGGAAGCUCCGGCUAACUACGUGCCAGCAGCCGCGGUAAUACGUAGGGAGCGAGCGUUGUCCGGAAUUACUGGGUGUAAAGGGAGCGUAGGCGGGAUUGCAAGUUGGAUGUGAAAACUGCGGGCUCAACCCGGAGCGUGCAUUCAAAACUGCGAUUCUUGAGUGAAGUAGA
RNAcentral lists this ribosomal RNA (305 nucleotides) under uncultured bacterium. RNAcentral describes it as "bacterial SSU rRNA". It matches the Rfam family "Bacterial small subunit ribosomal RNA", at positions 334 to 655 of the family's 1533-position model. The record is from RNAcentral.